This 495-nucleotide long non-coding RNA is filed under the name Marmota monax (woodchuck). The record is from RNAcentral. Lineage: Eukaryota; Metazoa; Chordata; Mammalia; Rodentia; Sciuridae.
CAGUGGUUAGAGCACUUGUCUAGCACAUGUGAGACACCAGGUUCAAUCCUCAGCACCACAUAAAAAUAAAUUAAAGGUACUGUGUCCAUCUACAACUGAAAAAAAAAUUUUAAAGAAUAAAAUUUAAAAAAAUGAAUAUGGACUAUGAGGAGCAGGAGUUUAUAGUCACUGUCCUCAGGAGUCUGACAUCAUAGAGCAUGUGAGACAAGCACACAACUAAUACUGGGUGCAACCUGGUGAGAACAGGAGCCUGAAAGAACCAGUGAAGCUACAACAGAGAGGGCAUUUGAACUUGACUUUCAAAUGAGAGGAUUUUAGCCAGGAAAGACAGGGAAGCCAUACUCAAAGCAAAGGAAACGCCUGCCUAGGGGCAGGAGGGGAACAGGAAUAGGGGCCAUUAUGAAGCUACCAGAAGUUCAAUUUGCUGGAGCACAGAUAGAUUUGUGUAGAUAGAUAAUUGGAAAUGAGACUAAGAGUGGAGUGGAUUCAUAAUCA